GUUCCCGUAGCUCAGUGGAUAGAGCACCGGUCUCCGGAACCGGGUGCGCAGGUUCGAGUCCUGUCGGGAACA
This 72-nucleotide transfer RNA is filed under the name Ktedonobacteraceae bacterium. Its description in RNAcentral is "tRNA-Arg". It matches the Rfam family "tRNA". From Rfam's summary of the family: Transfer RNA (tRNA) molecules are approximately 80 nucleotides in length. The record is from RNAcentral. Lineage: Bacteria; Bacillati; Chloroflexota; Ktedonobacteria; Ktedonobacterales; Ktedonobacteraceae.